UACGGAGAGUGCAAGCAUCAAUCGGAAUUAUUGGGCGUAAAGGGCGCGUAGGCGGAAUUAUAAGUCAGAUGUGAAAUUCUGAAGCUCAACUUCAGAGCUGCAUUUGAAACUAUAAAUCUAGAGGGUUGACGGAGAAAACGGAAUUCCACGUGUAGCGGUGAAAUGCGUAGAUAUGUGGAAGAACACCUGUGGCGAAAGCGGUUUUCUAGUUAAUACCUGACGCUGAGGCGCGAGAGCAAGGGGAGCAAACAGG
Molecule: ribosomal RNA, 253 nt
Filed under: uncultured bacterium
Lineage: Bacteria
Description: partial 16S ribosomal RNA
Rfam family: Bacterial small subunit ribosomal RNA
Source: RNAcentral